AUACGUAGGUGACAAGCGUUAUCCGGAUUUACUGGGCGUAAAGGGCGUGUAGGCGGUCUUGCAAGUCAGAAGUGAAAUUCCUGAGCUCAACUCGGGCGCUGCUUCUGAAACUGCAGGACUUGAGUGCUGGAGGGGAUAGCGGAAUUCCUAGUGGAGCGGUAAAAUGCGCAGAUAUUAGGAAGAACACCGGUGGCGAAGGCGGCUAUCUGGACAGUAACUGACGCUGAGGCGCGAAAGCGUGGGGAGCAAACAGGAUUAGAUACCCUGGUAGUCCACGCCGUAAACGAUGAACACUAGGUGUAGGGGGUAUCGACUCCCUCUGUGCCGCAGUUAACACAAUAAGUAUUCCGCCUGGGGAGUACGGCCGCAAGGUUGAAACUCAAAUGAAUUGACGGGG
This 397-nucleotide ribosomal RNA is filed under the name uncultured bacterium. RNAcentral's name for it is "partial 16S ribosomal RNA". It matches the Rfam family "Bacterial small subunit ribosomal RNA", at positions 523 to 918 of the family's 1533-position model. The record is from RNAcentral.